This 295-nucleotide non-coding RNA is filed under the name Atopobium deltae. RNAcentral describes it as "raiA RNA". It matches the Rfam family "raiA RNA". Lineage: Bacteria; Bacillati; Actinomycetota; Coriobacteriia; Coriobacteriales; Atopobiaceae. The record is from Rfam by way of RNAcentral.
UUUCGCUAGGCUGUGGUUGCGGAUGUGCCUCUACACACAUCCUAGUCCAAGGCAGACGAGGCCAAAAGGAUCCACGUAAGUUUAGCGGGUUGCAGCUUGCUGCGCCUCGUUAAGCGAGCAUGGCUCGUCCUAGAAGUAAGUCGUACCGUUCGUUUGAAUAAAGGCAUAGGGCCUUGCGAACGAGAGCAUUAGUCGUGCGCAUACCUCAGGCAAAGCCACAAGGCCAGCCAGGGGAUAUGCAAGCAAACGUGCCAGUAUGCGAGUGUGGGGUCAAAUACCAGGUCAGCUAACGAAA